Molecule: transfer RNA, 67 nt
Filed under: Polyzosteria viridissima
Lineage: Eukaryota; Metazoa; Arthropoda; Insecta; Blattodea; Blattidae
Description: tRNA-His
Source: RNAcentral
ACUUAAGUAGUUUAAUUAUUUAAAAUAUUGAUUUGUGGUGUCAGUGAUGUAAAUUUUACCUUGAGUU